CCCGGCAUCGGGAUACGGUUAAAGCCUUCGGGCGGUACAAGAUGGCCAUGCGUCCCAUUAGCUAGUUGGUAAGGUAACGGCUUACCAAGGCUACGAUGGGUAGGGGCCCUGAGAGGGGGAUCCCCCACACUGGUA
This 135-nucleotide ribosomal RNA is filed under the name Maribacter sp. EC-HK151. Its description in RNAcentral is "partial 16S ribosomal RNA". It matches the Rfam family "Bacterial small subunit ribosomal RNA", at positions 184 to 318 of the family's 1533-position model. Lineage: Bacteria; Pseudomonadati; Bacteroidota; Flavobacteriia; Flavobacteriales; Flavobacteriaceae. The record is from RNAcentral.